Molecule: long non-coding RNA, 1281 nt
Organism: Manacus vitellinus (golden-collared manakin)
Lineage: Eukaryota; Metazoa; Chordata; Aves; Passeriformes; Pipridae
Exons: 3
Source: RefSeq, a predicted model, not a curated record
GGAGCCUCCCGCCCGCUGCUGCCGCGGCCCUGGCGGGCCGGAGGCACCGAAGCGACGCCCUGACCAUCCCCAGGGAGAGUUCUCCGGCCGCGCUGGCUCGAUCAGUGAUCUCAUGGAGAAACCCCUGAACGUGCAAAACCUCCACGUGCUCGGAGACUGGCAGAGCUGAGCACAGCCACGGGUGAAAACGGCACCCCAGGAGAAAAGCAUUGAAGGAUUCGACAGAAAAAGGAAGAGGUACCGGCAGCCCCUGACAUCGACGCACCUCUGUGCUUGUAAGAAAUCCUGAUUUUGUUCCUCAAAACUCAGCGCCUAAACUUUGCCUUGGAGCUGCUCAUCUUCAUCACACAGUACAGGAACAGAAAAAAACGCUCUGAAACAGAUACUAAAGAACCUUCUUGCAACAUUCUGGUGUGAAGCUUCUGUGAUGUCCAGGAAUCCUGAUCUAUGAAGAAAACCCAGUUUUGUCCAUGUACCAGAGGUGAAACAAUAACAGUUCUGCUGAAAGAGUUAAAAAAAAUACCCUUGCUGCUCUCAAUAUCCGUAUUAUAGACAUUGAAAGCAUUAUUAUGAAUAACACUGAACUUGGUUUCUGUUUUGCUCUUGUCCUACUUUGGGUUCUGUGGAAUGGUGUUCAAUAAAAGUUUGACUUCAUGUACAGCCAGAACCCCUUCUCACCAACAGGAAAGCCUAAUAAGCUUCAGAAUAUAUAUGGUUGUUCAACUACAUUAAAAAUAAAGUCAAAGCCCUCAGUUUUUAUAACUCUGUAGCAUUUAUAAAAAAGCAUUUUAAAAUUGUACCUUGUGGGCAUUAUUCAUAGCAUUCAUAUUGUAAAAUAAGACCAGAAAAUUUAAGCAUUAUCUCCGGAAUAAAUUCAGUUUUGUGAAUUCUGUGGUUUGUGUUUUAUUGAAAUGCAUUUCAACUUUUAGAAGUUCACUGAAGCAAAAGCCUCCUUUUCAUUACUGCUGUUCCUGUUUGGAGUAUGUUAACAGUUCAAAAGUUUUUCUUAACUAGUUUCUGAUUUUUAAUUAUCCACUACAUUUAUAAAGCAUAUCUUUGCGUUUUCUUUAAGUAUAAGGGGACUAAACUAAAGGCUUACACUAAAGAAGUGAUGUUCCUUCCAUGUCACUAAAGUUCUUAGCAUCAGGAAGGAGGCACUGAUAAGAAGUUAAGUAUGUGCACAAAAACAUACAGAGCAGGAGCCUUGGUUUCUAGACCCCAAGGACAUCAUAGUAUUAAAUUUGAAAAAUCAAGUACUUUUAAUUCUGUAGGAUUUUUAGA